RNAcentral lists this ribosomal RNA (253 nucleotides) under uncultured bacterium. RNAcentral describes it as "partial 16S ribosomal RNA". It matches the Rfam family "Bacterial small subunit ribosomal RNA", at positions 524 to 776 of the family's 1533-position model. The record is from RNAcentral.
UACAGAGGGUGCGAGCGUUACUCGGAAUUACUGGGCGUAAAGCGUGCGUAGACGGUUAUUUAAGUCGGAUGUGAAAGCCCCGGGCUCAACCUGGGAAUUGCAUUCGAGACUGAAUAGCUAGGGUACGGUAGAGGGAAGUGGAAUUUCCGGUGUAGCGGUGAAAUGCGUAGAUAUCGGAAGGAACAUCAGUGGCGAAAGCGACUUCCUGGACCAGUACCGACGUUCAGGCACGAAAGCGUGGGGAGCAAACAGG